Pelobates cultripes (western spadefoot toad) is the source of this 818-nucleotide non-coding RNA. The record is from the annotation of a GenBank genome assembly. Lineage: Eukaryota; Metazoa; Chordata; Amphibia; Anura; Pelobatidae.
AUAGAAUAUAAAAGUAAACAAAAAAUACACAGAAAAGUAAAAAAUCUCAAAAGUACACAGUGGUUACUUAUUGUAGUAGAUAGAUUCACUUCUGGUGCUGGUUCCAAAGUUCCAAAUUCCAUCUUCAUCACAAUUCCAAUAAAGAACCACACUUUUUAAUCAGUAAGCUCCAAAUCAUUUCAACAGGUACGGUGGAUCCUUAAAAGUACUCCAUUUAUUGAAAAAUGUGCAAAAUGGAAUAGAAAAUACUCAAAGACCUCAAAAGUAACAUGUGAUCAAGAAGACACCCUGCAUAAGUUACAAGAACAAGUUUUAAAAAAAUUACCUGUGAGAAGGGGGAUAAAAAAAGAAGUAAUGAAGGCUCUCGCUUUUCUUGUUUGGAAUUCUGCAGAAGCUUUCAUUCACUACAGUUUGAUUCAAGCAGGCAUAUGUUAGUCAUGCAAUGGAAUUAGAUUAACCCCUUAAGGAAGGCAGGUGUUCUAUGCCAUCCUUACUAAGGUAUAGUAAUCUGAUAGAACACCAGUGGGCGGCAUAGAAUGUCCCCCACCAUCCUUAUUACUUACCGGCUCCUUGCCAUUCCCCCACUGGUGGUCGUAAUCCUGGGGACUGCAUGACAUCCCAUGCAGUCCCCCUUCAGUUGAUCCGGUCUCCCGGGCCAUGUGAGUCCUUGCAAUCACAUGGCCAGAAUGGCUGUCUGCAGCUCUGCCUGCAGGGUUACUGUCUGGGAUAUAAGGCCCCAUGUGCCUGAAAUUGCAUUUUUAAAAGUUUAAUAAAAGUUUAAUCAAAGUUUAUAAAUUAAGUAAAAGUACAUACACAGG